CAAUGGGCGAAAGCCUGACGGAGCAACGCCGCGUGAGUGAUGAAGGUCUUCGGAUCGUAAAACUCUGUUAUUAGGGAAGAACAAAUGUGUAAGUAACUAUGCACGUCUUGACGGUACCUAAUCAGAAAGCCACGGCUAACUACGUGCCAGCAGCCGCGGUAAUA
RNAcentral lists this ribosomal RNA (164 nucleotides) under uncultured Gram-positive bacterium. RNAcentral describes it as "partial 16S ribosomal RNA". It matches the Rfam family "Bacterial small subunit ribosomal RNA", at positions 369 to 525 of the family's 1533-position model. The record is from RNAcentral.